This 1347-nucleotide ribosomal RNA is filed under the name uncultured bacterium. RNAcentral's name for it is "bacterial SSU rRNA". It matches the Rfam family "Bacterial small subunit ribosomal RNA", at positions 27 to 1393 of the family's 1533-position model. The record is from RNAcentral.
GGAUGAACGCUAGCUACAGGCUUAACACAUGCAAGUCGAGGGGCAAGUUUGCUUGCAAACUGCGACCGGCGCACGGGUGAGUAACACGUAUCCAACCUGCCGAUAACUCCGGGAUAGCCUUUCGAAAGAAAGAUUAAUACCGGAUGGCAUACGAAUCGCAUGAUUUUUUAUUAAAGAAUUUCGGUUAUCGAUGGGGAUGCGUUCCAUUAGUUUGUUGGCGGGGUAACGGCCCACCAAGACUACGAUGGAUAGGGGUUCUGAGAGGAAGGUCCCCCACAUUGGAACUGAGACACGGUCCAAACUCCUACGGGAGGCAGCAGUGAGGAAUAUUGGUCAAUGGGCGAGAGCCUGAACCAGCCAAGUAGCGUGAAGGAUGAAGGCUCUUGGGUCGUAAACUUCUUUUAUAUGGGAAUAAAGUUUUCCACGUGUGGAAUUUUGUAUGUACCAUAUGAAUAAGGAUCGGCUAACUCCGUGCCAGCAGCCGCGGUAAUACGGAGGAUCCGAGCGUUAUCCGGAUUUAUUGGGUUUAAAGGGAGCGUAGGUGGAUUGUUAAGUCAGUUGUGAAAGUUUGCGGCUCAACCGUAAAAUUGCAGUUGAAACUGGGAGUCUUGAGUACAGUAGAGGUGGGCGGAAUUCGUGGUGUAGCGGUGAAAUGCUUAGAUAUCACGAAGAACUCCGAUUGCGAAGGCAGCUCACUAGACUGUCACUGACACUGAUGCUCGAAAGUGUGGGUAUCAAACAGGAUUAGAUACCCUGGUAGUCCACACAGUAAACGAUGAAUACUCGCUGUUGCAUAUAGUAAGCGGCCAAGCGAAAGCAUUAAGUAUUCCACCUGGGGAGUACGCCGGCAACGGUGAAACUCAAAGGAAUUGACGGGGGCCCGCACAAGCGGAGGAACAUGUGGUUUAAUUCGAUGAUACGCGAGGAACCUUACCCGGGCUUAAAUUGAACAGAAUAUAUUGGAAACAGUAUAGCCGUAAGGCUGUUGUGAAGGUGCUGCAUGGUUGUCGUCAGCUCGUGCCGUGAGGUGUCGGCUUAAGUGCCAUAACGAGCGCAACCCUUAUCUUUAGUUACUAACAGGUCAUGCUGAGGACUCUAGAGAGACUGCCGUCGUAAGAUGGAGGAAGGUGGGGAUGACGUCAAAUCAGCACGGCCCUUACGUCCGGGGCUACACACGUGUUACAAUGGGGGGUACAGAAGGCGGCUACCUGGUGACAGGAUGCUAAUCCCAAAAACCUCUCUCAGUUCGGAUCGAAGUCUGCAACCCGACUUCGUGAAGCUGGAUUCGCUAGUAAUCGCGCAUCAGCAUGGCGCGGUGAAUACGUUCCCGGGCCUUGCACACACCGC